Molecule: ribosomal RNA, 413 nt
Filed under: uncultured bacterium
Lineage: Bacteria
Description: bacterial SSU rRNA
Rfam family: Bacterial small subunit ribosomal RNA
Source: RNAcentral
GGCGUAACGCGUAUGCAACCUGCCCCCAUCAGGGGAAUAGCCCGCCGAAAGGCGGAUUAAUGCCCCAUAGGCCCAGGGCGCCGCAUGGCGCUAUGGGUAAAGCUCCGGCGGAUGGGGAUGGGCAUGCGUGCCAUUAGCUAGUUGGGGCGGUAACGGCGCACCAAGGCGACGAUGGCUAGGGGGUCUGAGAGGAUGGUCCCCCACACUGGUACUGAGACACGGACCAGACUCCUACGGGAGGCAGCAGUGAGGAAUAUUGGUCAAUGGGCGGAAGCCUGAACCAGCCAUGCCGCGUGCAGGAUGACGGCCCUACGGGUUGUAAACUGCUUUUCCCCGGGAAGAAUAAGCCCCUCGUGAGGGGUGAUGCCGGUACCGGGGGAAUAAGGAUCGGCUAACUCCGUGCCAGCAGCCGC